GAUGAAGAACGCAGCGAAAUGCGAUAAGUAAUGUGAAUUGCAGAAUUCAGUGAAUCAUCGAAUCUUUGCACGCACAUUGCGCCCGCCAGUAUUCUGGCGGGCAUGCCUGUUCGAGCGUCAUUACAACCCUCAGGCCCCCGGGCCUGGCGUUGGGGAUCGGCGGAAGCCCCCUGCGGGCACAACGCCGUCCCCCAAAUACAGUGGCGGUCCCGCCGCAGCUUCCAUUGCGUAGUAGCUAACACCUCGCAACUGGAGAGCGGCGCGGCCACGCCGUAAAACACCCAACUUCUGAAUGUUGACCUCGAAUCAGGUAGGAAUACCCGCUGAACUUAAGCAUAUCAAUAAGCGGAGGA
RNAcentral lists this unclassified non-coding RNA (353 nucleotides) under soil metagenome. RNAcentral's name for it is "partial contains 5.8S ribosomal RNA, internal transcribed spacer 2, and large subunit ribosomal RNA". The stretch from base 1 to 120 matches the Rfam family "5.8S ribosomal RNA", at positions 35 to 154 of the family's 154-position model. The record is from RNAcentral.